RNAcentral lists this ribosomal RNA (2758 nucleotides) under Escherichia coli. RNAcentral's name for it is "bacterial LSU rRNA". It matches the Rfam family "Bacterial large subunit ribosomal RNA". The record is from RNAcentral. Lineage: Bacteria; Pseudomonadati; Pseudomonadota; Gammaproteobacteria; Enterobacterales; Enterobacteriaceae.
CUAUCAUUAACUGAAUCCAUAGGUUAAUGAGGCGAACCGGGGGAACUGAAACAUCUAAGUACCCCGAGGAAAAGAAAUCAACCGAGAUUCCCCCAGUAGCGGCGAGCGAACGGGGAGCAGCCCAGAGCCUGAAUCAGUGUGUGUGUUAGUGGAAGCGUCUGGAAAGGCGCGCGAUACAGGGUGACAGCCCCGUACACAAAAAUGCACAUGCUGUGAGCUCGAUGAGUAGGGCGGGACACGUGGUAUCCUGUCUGAAUAUGGGGGGACCAUCCUCCAAGGCUAAAUACUCCUGACUGACCGAUAGUGAACCAGUACCGUGAGGGAAAGGCGAAAAGAACCCCGGCGAGGGGAGUGAAAAAGAACCUGAAACCGUGUACGUACAAGCAGUGGGAGCACGCUUAGGCGUGUGACUGCGUACCUUUUGUAUAAUGGGUCAGCGACUUAUAUUCUGUAGCAAGGUUAACCGAAUAGGGGAGCCGAAGGGAAACCGAGUCUUAACUGGGCGUUAAGUUGCAGGGUAUAGACCCGAAACCCGGUGAUCUAGCCAUGGGCAGGUUGAAGGUUGGGUAACACUAACUGGAGGACCGAACCGACUAAUGUUGAAAAAUUAGCGGAUGACUUGUGGCUGGGGGUGAAAGGCCAAUCAAACCGGGAGAUAGCUGGUUCUCCCCGAAAGCUAUUUAGGUAGCGCCUCGUGAAUUCAUCUCCGGGGGUAGAGCACUGUUUCGGCAAGGGGGUCAUCCCGACUUACCAACCCGAUGCAAACUGCGAAUACCGGAGAAUGUUAUCACGGGAGACACACGGCGGGUGCUAACGUCCGUCGUGAAGAGGGAAACAACCCAGACCGCCAGCUAAGGUCCCAAAGUCAUGGUUAAGUGGGAAACGAUGUGGGAAGGCCCAGACAGCCAGGAUGUUGGCUUAGAAGCAGCCAUCAUUUAAAGAAAGCGUAAUAGCUCACUGGUCGAGUCGGCCUGCGCGGAAGAUGUAACGGGGCUAAACCAUGCACCGAAGCUGCGGCAGCGACGCUUAUGCGUUGUUGGGUAGGGGAGCGUUCUGUAAGCCUGUGAAGGUGUGCUGUGAGGCAUGCUGGAGGUAUCAGAAGUGCGAAUGCUGACAUAAGUAACGAUAAAGCGGGUGAAAAGCCCGCUCGCCGGAAGACCAAGGGUUCCUGUCCAACGUUAAUCGGGGCAGGGUGAGUCGACCCCUAAGGCGAGGCCGAAAGGCGUAGUCGAUGGGAAACAGGUUAAUAUUCCUGUACUUGGUGUUACUGCGAAGGGGGGACGGAGAAGGCUAUGUUGGCCGGGCGACGGUUGUCCCGGUUUAAGCGUGUAGGCUGGUUUUCCAGGCAAAUCCGGAAAAUCAAGGCUGAGGCGUGAUGACGAGGCACUACGGUGCUGAAGCAACAAAUGCCCUGCUUCCAGGAAAAGCCUCUAAGCAUCAGGUAACAUCAAAUCGUACCCCAAACCGACACAGGUGGUCAGGUAGAGAAUACCAAGGCGCUUGAGAGAACUCGGGUGAAGGAACUAGGCAAAAUGGUGCCGUAACUUCGGGAGAAGGCACGCUGAUAUGUAGGUGAAGUCCCUCGCGGAUGGAGCUGAAAUCAGUCGAAGAUACCAGCUGGCUGCAACUGUUUAUUAAAAACACAGCACUGUGCAAACACGAAAGUGGACGUAUACGGUGUGACGCCUGCCCGGUGCCGGAAGGUUAAUUGAUGGGGUCAGCGCAAGCGAAGCUCUUGAUCGAAGCCCCGGUAAACGGCGGCCGUAACUAUAACGGUCCUAAGGUAGCGAAAUUCCUUGUCGGGUAAGUUCCGACCUGCACGAAUGGCGUAAUGAUGGCCAGGCUGUCUCCACCCGAGACUCAGUGAAAUUGAACUCGCUGUGAAGAUGCAGUGUACCCGCGGCAAGACGGAAAGACCCCGUGAACCUUUACUAUAGCUUGACACUGAACAUUGAGCCUUGAUGUGUAGGAUAGGUGGGAGGCUUAGAAGUGUGGACGCCAGUCUGCAUGGAGCCGACCUUGAAAUACCACCCUUUAAUGUUUGAUGUUCUAACGUUGACCCGUAAUCCGGGUUGCGGACAGUGUCUGGUGGGUAGUUUGACUGGGGCGGUCUCCUCCUAAAGAGUAACGGAGGAGCACGAAGGUUGGCUAAUCCUGGUCGGACAUCAGGAGGUUAGUGCAAUGGCAUAAGCCAGCUUGACUGCGAGCGUGACGGCGCGAGCAGGUGCGAAAGCAGGUCAUAGUGAUCCGGUGGUUCUGAAUGGAAGGGCCAUCGCUCAACGGAUAAAAGGUACUCCGGGGAUAACAGGCUGAUACCGCCCAAGAGUUCAUAUCGACGGCGGUGUUUGGCACCUCGAUGUCGGCUCAUCACAUCCUGGGGCUGAAGUAGGUCCCAAGGGUAUGGCUGUUCGCCAUUUAAAGUGGUACGCGAGCUGGGUUUAGAACGUCGUGAGACAGUUCGGUCCCUAUCUGCCGUGGGCGCUGGAGAACUGAGGGGGGCUGCUCCUAGUACGAGAGGACCGGAGUGGACGCAUCACUGGUGUUCGGGUUGUCAUGCCAAUGGCACUGCCCGGUAGCUAAAUGCGGAAGAGAUAAGUGCUGAAAGCAUCUAAGCACGAAACUUGCCCCGAGAUGAGUUCUCCCUGACCCUUUAAGGGUCCUGAAGGAACGUUGAAGACGACGACGUUGAUAGGCCGGGUGUGUAAGCGCAGCGAUGCGUUGAGCUAACCGGUACUAAUGAACCGUGAGGCUUAACCUU